UACGUAGGCAGCAAGCGUUGUUCGGAGUUACUGGGCGUAAAGAGUGUGUAGGCGGUUCUCUAAGUUUGGUGUGAAAUCUCCCGGCUUAACUGGGAGGGUGCGCCGAAAACUGGAGGGCUUGAGUAUGGGAGAGGAAAGCGGAAUUCCUGGUGUAGCGGUGAAAUGCGUAGAUAUCAUGAGGAAUACCAGAGGCGAAGGCGG
Molecule: ribosomal RNA, 201 nt
Filed under: uncultured prokaryote
Description: partial 16S ribosomal RNA
Rfam family: Bacterial small subunit ribosomal RNA
Source: RNAcentral